Long non-coding RNA from Glycine soja, 185 nucleotides. RefSeq lists it as uncharacterized. The record is from RefSeq and is a predicted model, not a curated record. The transcript is spliced from 3 exons. Lineage: Eukaryota; Viridiplantae; Streptophyta; Magnoliopsida; Fabales; Fabaceae.
CGGUUUCGGUAGAGAACGAAAACCCUAAUCUGAUCUUUCGUUUUCUUUCGAGAGGCUUGUGUGGAAUCGACAAGCAAGGACAAAAAGGAAUCUUCAAGUGACGCGACAAGGAAUCCGUGGGGUAGCUCACUAUAGAAUGACAGUGGCAGGGUGUAGCGAGUAAGAUUCUGGUGAGGAGCCGCCGA